GCUGAAUCAGCUAUAGCAACAACAAAGCCGGGAGAGGAUACAGAGCCCAAAAGAUGUGCAGACCAGACCUAAUUCUGAUUUUGCUGUUGCUGGUGAUCUCAGCUGGCCAUGCUCACGAAAUUGAGAUACAUAACUGGAGGUGUGGCUACAAAGGACUUUGUAGGCGUCUGUGCUUCACCCGAGAGCACAAUGCAGGUUAUCAUGGCUGUCCUAACAGAUACAAAUGCUGUGCUGUUCGAUUCAAGCAAAUACCAAAAAAUACUGUGUGACAGAAAAUCAAAUCCUGAAACAAAAUGAAAAGUAAGGAUUUGCGAAGAUUUUGGUCCACAAUGUUUUUGCAAAUAUAAAGAACAUCACUGUAAGACGUACUCUUCUGUCUUUCUAAUCUUUACCCAACAACUUAAAAAUAAACAUGACAGUUAUGUAAAUGUAAAAAAUAGAGCAUGAGAAGAGUAGAAUUACAACACUAUGUAGGGAAUAAAACAGUAAGGAGCAUGCUAUAAUAAGAAAAUAAUUAACAGUCAGUUGAUAUUAUAGUCUCUAACACACAGCGUGUUAUUCCAGUUCAACCCUGAAGAUAAUUAUUUGCCAGUAAUUUCAUCUAGUCACCCCUACACAUUCUUUUGUAUUUAAUUGUAGCUUGUUUUUGAGAAAUUACAAAAACACAAUAUCCACCGUAUUUAAAUAUAUUUUCUAUAUGUUUUUAACUGUUUAAUGUUAGUGAUAAAUGAUGUGCAUUGUCCACUAUACAGUACAAAGGUGUGUGGAAGUUUUCUGUAUAGAAAAGAUUUUUCUUUUUUCAAGAUUUUUCAACAUUUUUGAAUGAUUAUUGAUUGUAAACAUCACUACUCUCAGAUUACAAUGGCAAUGCUGUCAGAACACUU
This is a long non-coding RNA of Tachysurus vachellii, 884 nucleotides long. RefSeq lists it as uncharacterized. NCBI's taxonomy places the organism in Eukaryota, Metazoa, Chordata, Actinopteri, Siluriformes, Bagridae. The record is from RefSeq and is a predicted model, not a curated record. The transcript has 3 exons.